RNAcentral lists this ribosomal RNA (431 nucleotides) under uncultured bacterium. RNAcentral's name for it is "partial 16S ribosomal RNA". It matches the Rfam family "Bacterial small subunit ribosomal RNA", at positions 30 to 507 of the family's 1533-position model. The record is from RNAcentral.
CGAACGCUGGCGGCAUGCCUAACACAUGCAAGUCGCACGAGACCUUCGGGUCUAGUGGCGCCCGGGUGCGUAACGCGUGGGAACCUGCCCUUAGGUUCGGAAUAACUCCCCGAAAGGGGUGCUAAUACCGGAUAAUGUCUUCGGACCAAAGAUUUAUCGCCUUUGGAUGGGCCCGCGUUGGAUUAGCUAGUUGGUAGGGUAAAAGCCUACCAAGGCGACGAUCCAUAGCUGGUCUGAGAGGAUGAUCAGCCACACUGGGACUGAGACACGGCCCAGACUCCUACGGGAGGCAGCAGUGGGGAAUAUUGGACAAUGGGCGAAAGCCUGAUCCAGCAAUGCCGCGUGAGUGAUGAAGGCCUUAGGGUUGUAAAGCUCUUUUACCCGGGAUGAUAAUGACAGUACCGGGAGAAUAAGCUCCGGCUAACUCCGUG